AACUUUCAACAACGGAUCUCUAGGCUCUUGCAUCGAUGAAGAACGCAGUGAAAUGUGAUAAGUAAUGUGAAUUGCAGAAUCUCGUGAAUCAUCAAAUCUUUGAACGCAUAUUGCGCCCAAUGGUAUUCCACUGGGCAUACCUGUUUGAGUGUCU
Molecule: ribosomal RNA, 154 nt
Filed under: uncultured Pezizales
Lineage: Eukaryota; Fungi; Ascomycota; Pezizomycetes; Pezizales
Description: 5.8S ribosomal RNA
Rfam family: 5.8S ribosomal RNA
About the family: 5.8S ribosomal RNA (5.8S rRNA) is a component of the large subunit of the eukaryotic ribosome. It is transcribed by RNA polymerase I as part of the 45S precursor that also contains 18S and 28S rRNA.
Source: RNAcentral